This is a long non-coding RNA of Stegostoma tigrinum, 2101 nucleotides long. RefSeq lists it as uncharacterized. Lineage: Eukaryota; Metazoa; Chordata; Chondrichthyes; Orectolobiformes; Stegostomatidae. The transcript has 3 exons. The record is from RefSeq and is a predicted model, not a curated record.
CAUCCACGAGAGCGGUCUCGAGUCGCUGAGACAACUGGAACGGCAGAUGCUGGAGCAUCGGAUAUAACACGGUGUGCAGCCAGAUGAACACAGCAGGUCAAGCAGCAUCAGAGGAGCAGGAAAGCUGACGUUUCCGGCCUAGAUCCUUCGCUGAGACCAAGAUUUAUGCAAUUGAGAUACUAGCGAUCAUUGCCAAAGCCCUGUUGCCUGUGGAGAAGUUUAACCUUCGUGUCCUGCUGCAGUUUGUAUGAUGAAGGUGCUCCCACAAUGCGGCCAUUUGAGAAGUUACAGAUCAUUCAUCUAGCAAUACUGAAGAGCUGAUGGUAUUUCCACAAUUUUACUUCUGCACUGUUCUUAACCUUUCAAUCCCUCUGAAAGACUGAGUUACAGAUUUAUACAAUGCCUGUCCUUCCUCCCUGGCUCUCCCACCUCUCUUUCGGUAAUUUUGUGUAAACACUGACUGACUGAAUACCUUACCUGGAGGAUAUUUAUGAAUGGAUUUGUUCUAAUGAUAAUCCAACAUGUUUUCCAAGUGUCGCUCCACAAAUGUCCAGAGGAUUUCUCAGUUUCACAGUCUGUUUUCUCUUCUGGUUUCUCACUCAUUGCACUUACUUUCUGUGUGAUAGCUUAGUCUGCAGUUAGAGAAUUCAAACUGUUCCACAUCCAGGUCUGACAGUCACUUUGUUUAUCACAACCCAAUUAUCUCAGGAUUUUGAACAUUGAAGGAGAAAGCAGCACUCACACUUUGGAGAAAUACAAAUGGUUUGUGUGUAAAAGAGUCUGUGAAGAUUCAUCUGAAAUGUUCUAACACCAGCGCAGUGACUCUGGGGAGAGACUGUGGAAAUGGGCAGAUUGCAAGAAGGAACUUCUUCAUCCAUCCCACCUAGAAACUGACCACCAGAGUCACACUGGAGAGAAACCAUUCACCUGCUCUGAUUGUGGUAUGGGAUUCACUCAGUCAUCUAACCUGCUUAAACACCAGGGAGCUCUCACUGGAUAGAAACCAUUCACUUGCUUGGAAUGUGGGAAACAAUUCACUCAGACAACUCACCUGCUGAUACACCAGCAAAUUGACACUGGAGAGAGACCAUUGGCCUGUUGUGUGUGGGAAAGUUUUUCUGACUCGAAUUCCCCUCUGACACACCAGCAAAUUCACUCUUGGGAGAGAGCAUUCGUGAGCUGAGUGUGGGAAAGCAUUCACUCAGUCGUCCAAACAGUCACAAAGAACCACGGUUGAAGCAUUUUGCUAUCACUCUCACGAUCAAAUGAACCAUAGUUUUGGGCUGUUUGUACUGCUGUUACUAAUCCCAGCUCAAUUAAAGGUGCUGGUAUUGUGAAUAAAAUGUUAAUAACAGUUGUAUAUCUGUCAGGUGGAGCUUGGAAAUAGUCACGUCACGACACAUUCACACUGACUAAAGACUAUCCACCAGCACAGUAUGUGAAAAGGGAUUUCCUGGUUCAUCAGGACUAGUUAAGUAGCAGCAAAUUUGAGUAACUCUUGGGUUUUUUUUUAUUCUGCUGUUAGCUGUCUCCAAACCAGGUAUUUUUGGGCUUGUUUCUGGAGAUCAUAGAAUCCCUCCAGUGUGGAAGCAGAUGACUUGGCCCAUCAAGUCCACACUGAACCUAUGAAGUGUCUUACCCAGACCCUGUCUGCGUCGGUUUCCUCCCACAGUCCAUAAAUGUGCAAAUUAGGUCGAUUGACUAUGCUAAAUUACCCUUAGUAUCUUGUGUGCAGAAUGCAAGGACAGAGUGGGGUGUGAGACUGGAUGGGAUGCCCUUUGGAGGGUUUGUGUGGACUCAGUGGACUGAAUGGCCAUCUUCCACACUGUAGGAAUUCUAUGAUGAUCUCGAUGGCCCUUUAUUUAUUAGUUAUGUCUGCACACCUUUUACAAUUACGGAUCCUGUUGCUCUCCACAGACACGUUUCAACUUUUAAUAGGUGUUUGUUGAUUUGGAAACAAUCGUAAUGUUUCCUUUUGAGUUUUGCCCACAAAAUGAAAGUUUUAAGUCGAAACAAAAGAUUGGGAGGAGUCCAGUACUAUAUCCCCGAUUGCAUUUUCCCGAUCGGCUAUGAAACCUGGUGUCCGUUGUGACUCUGUUCG